This 270-nucleotide ribosomal RNA is filed under the name uncultured archaeon. RNAcentral's name for it is "partial 16S ribosomal RNA". It matches the Rfam family "Archaeal small subunit ribosomal RNA", at positions 477 to 747 of the family's 1478-position model. The record is from RNAcentral.
CAGCACCUCAAGUGGUCAGGAUGAUUAUUGGGCCUAAAGCAUCCGUAGCCGGCGCUGUAAGUUUUCGGUUAAAUCUGUACGCUCAACGUACAGGCUGCCGGGAAUACUGCAGCGCUAGGGAGUGGGAGAGGUAGACGGUACUCGGUAGGAAGGGGUAAAAUCCUUUGAUCUAUUGAUGACCACCUGUGGCGAAGGCGGUCUACCAGAACACGUUCGACGGUGAGGGAUGAAAGCUGGGGGAGCAAACCGGAUUAGAGACCCGCGUAGUCC